CCUACGGGUGGCAGCAGUGGGGAAUAUUGGUCAAUGGGCGCAAGCCUGACCCAGCCACGCAGCGUGCAGGAAGAAGGCUUUCUGGUUUUAAACUUCUUUUCUCAGGGGCGUAACAUGUGACACUACCUAAGGAAUAAACCUCGGCUAACUACGUGCCAGCAGCCCCGGUAAUACGUAGGUGGCAAGCGUUAUACGGAUUUGCUGGGUGUAAGGGGCGUGUAGGCGGGAAAGCAAGUCAGAUGUGAAAACCAGGGGCUCAACCUGUGGCCUGCAUUUGAAACUGGUUUUCUUGAGUACUUGAGAGGCAGACGGAAUUCCUAGUGUAGCGGUGAAAUGCGUAGAUAUUAGGAGGAACACCAGUGGCGAAGGCGGUCUGCGGGACAGCAACUGACGCUGAGGCGCGAAAGCGCGGGGAGCAAACAGGAUUAGAUACCCCAGUAGUC
Molecule: ribosomal RNA, 443 nt
Filed under: uncultured bacterium
Lineage: Bacteria
Description: partial 16S ribosomal RNA
Rfam family: Bacterial small subunit ribosomal RNA
Source: RNAcentral